This 1052-nucleotide unclassified non-coding RNA is filed under the name Hevea brasiliensis (rubber tree). Lineage: Eukaryota; Viridiplantae; Streptophyta; Magnoliopsida; Malpighiales; Euphorbiaceae. The record is from RNAcentral.
GUUGUCUGUCUGCUUUCUUUUAUAUGAAGGGAAAGAUUCUAAUGUUCUGUCCCCUGAAGUAAUCCACAAAUUUGUAUUCUUUACUUCAAUCCUAUUUCGACAGCCAGAUCCAAUUGCUAUCUGCAUCUGCAAGUUUUUGGCUGCUAAUAUCUUUUCUUCUGAAAACUCAAGAAAUUUUUUACUGGAAAAGAAAUCUUUAGUAACUUUUGCAGAUUGCGAGGUAAUCACAAAAAUCAUAUUGUUGAUACUAAUUUCCUUCCCGUGCAAGUUCAAAAAUUUACCAGUUCUGAUAGCGCGAGAUAAGCUAUUCUGAACAGGAAAAUCAGCCUUUUCUAUGUUUUCAAGAAGCACAGUAGAACAGCUCUUCUUGCUUAACUCCUCUGCAAUGUAGUCAAUGACUGUCUUUCCCCUAAGUUUCAUGUGAUUGUUUCUUAUAUUUUGAUGGAUAAGCAGAGAAUUUGAGCAGCUAAUCCAAUCGCUAGAGCCCAGAUCCACAGAGAGCAAGCUAUUGUGGCUGCCAAAGACAUUCUCAGCAAGAGCUUUUGCAAUUUUUUGUUUCCCCACCUUGUCAGGUCCAAGGAAGCUGAGCCAUAUAUUUCCUUUGCUAGAGACAUGACUCCUUCCAUUACCACUUCUGCAGCGAGUGACAGUAUGACUAAUGGCAUAAAUGGCUUCCUCUUGCCAAUAAACAUGUUCGGAAAGAGCUUUAUAAAGGUUCUUAAAGUCUUCCAAAAUUAAGUCCUUGUCUAACUGAGGAACAGAGGAAGAAACCGAUCCUGAAAAGUAAGGAAGGCAAUCCUGAUUUUCCGAAAAACUGGGUUCCCACAGAUCUCUUACAGUGGAUAUGUGAACCGUUCCCAACCCCAGGUCUGUGCUAACAGAAGCUCUUGAGGCUAAUGAUGUUCGAUCAAGGGGCAGGCUCGAACCACAAAGAGCAUUCUGGUACGGGGUCCAGAUAUUUUCCAUCUUCUGAUGCUGAGUUUCUAAACUCUGAGCCGGUACUUCAGGUUGGGAAUUAGAUUCACCUUCAGACACGACUGAUUUUGACAUGG